UUUGGUGAAGGAGAAGUGUUGGUGUUUCCCUUCUUUUUGAGUUGCCGGAUAGCAUGAAUUGCCUUAUGCAACAUCUUCUCUAAGCUGACAUAAGUCUGAAGCUCAUUCUGAUCAAACACAUCACGGUUGCUUCUCUUGGCUUUGGUGAAGGGACGAUCACCACUUCUGACCCACUUCUCAUCAUCAUCGAACUUUUUUUGUCUCUUCCUUUGGUUUCUUUGUUUCUGCACAAAAUCAAACCCAUUAGAAGCAAACUAUUUCUUAUUUCCAAAAAUCAUUUACUCUUUUUCUAACACAGUUUUAAAAGGAAAGUAAACGUCUUGUUGUGGUUUUGAUUUCUUGAGAAGUCCAAACAUCCUGAAAACACUUAACAAAAGAGUUAGCAAAUAAAAAUAUUCACACUCUCAAAGUGUUUAGCUCACGAUUUUUAGGUGAUCACUCAGAGUUCUUUCCACUGGUUCAAAGGAUGAUAGACAGUCAAAAUUCAGCAAUCAAAGCCCAAAACAAACUUUUGUGGCAAAAAGAAAGGAGAAAGAAAGAUGAAGAGAUUUUUGAUAUGGAUCCGCCUUAACUAUCCUAAGGCUGGGUUUCUCUUAAGCCAGCAGAGUUUCUCUUCCACCACUC
RNAcentral lists this long non-coding RNA (624 nucleotides) under Brassica napus (rape). RNAcentral describes it as "long non-coding RNA (BNAP_LNC017460)". Lineage: Eukaryota; Viridiplantae; Streptophyta; Magnoliopsida; Brassicales; Brassicaceae. The record is from RNAcentral.